AGCUUUCGAUCUGAUCCUCUGAAGUUAACCUGCUCCGGAGCAGGUUAGCCGUUCAGCAUAAGUUACCAUGGUGAUUUACCACGACAGGAAGUGAACCACCGUCGUUAGACUGAAAACCGAGAGUUAAACUUGAAGUUACCUCGCUAACCGCAAAUCCUGCUUCGUAGUACAGGCCUCUGGACAACGACAUGGGAGUCUCGGCAUAUCUUUGCAAGGUCAUGACGUUGGAGAAGGGGAUCUCAGCCUUGAACAUCUUCCUACAGUGCAUGAGCUGCACCAGCAGGUAGCACACCGUCUUAAACUUCAUCCUCUUGGCUGGUUUGAUGUCCGACAGAAUCAGACCUGGAAAGAUCUGGAAAAGACGACAAAGAUGAUGAGAUGAACAGGAAAGAGAGGGAGAGCUAGUGGCUACUGAGAGGGUGGCGGUAAAGAAAAUGUGGCCUGCCUAUCAGGCUGAAGGAGGGAUGCUGCACAACCACACACACACACACACGUGGAAGGAUGAGUGUGUAUGGCAGCACCUGUCCUCUGAGAUAAAGGACUCCUACAGCGGCAUCCAUCCAGUCAGACAGAGCAGCAAGGAAAGAACAUGACAGACGAGCGCUCACACAAGGAAAUGAGGUGGUUUGAGAUGAUGAGUGCAGCUGAUGUGUUUGUAUCCGUCUGCGCCGCGGUGACACAGCGCCCUGCCCUGCCAGCUCAUUGUGCUCACUGACAUUUCUCCAAAUUGAGGCUCUGACAUGAAGGACGGCGGCGGCGCAGAUGAAAGCUCCAGAGGAGGAGCGUGCAAAGUCACUGUGGACUGCAAAGUAGGAUUAGGGUCAUCCUGGUGGAAUACAGCGCGGGAUUUCUCUCAAGUGAAAGG
Molecule: long non-coding RNA, 865 nt
Organism: Lates calcarifer (barramundi perch)
Lineage: Eukaryota; Metazoa; Chordata; Actinopteri; Centropomidae
Exons: 5
Source: RefSeq, a predicted model, not a curated record